This 387-nucleotide ribosomal RNA is filed under the name uncultured bacterium. RNAcentral describes it as "bacterial SSU rRNA". It matches the Rfam family "Bacterial small subunit ribosomal RNA", at positions 28 to 417 of the family's 1533-position model. The record is from RNAcentral.
GACGAACGCUGGCGGCGUGCUUAACACAUGCAAGUCGAGCGGUAAGGCCCUUUCGGGGGUACACGAGCGGCGAACGGGUGAGUAACACGUGGGUGACCUGCCCUCAGCUCUGGGAUAAGCCUGGGAAACCGGGUCUAAUACCGGAUAUGACUCCAUGACGCAUGUUGUGGGGUGGAAAGCCUUGUGCGGCUGAGGAUGGGCCCGCGGCCUAUCGGCUUGUUGGUGGGGUGAUGGCCACCAAGGCGACGACGGGUAGCCGGCCUGAGAGGGCGACCGGCCACACUGGGACUGAGACACGGCCCAGACUCCUACGGGAGGCAGCAGUGGGGAAUCUUGCGCAAUGGGCGAAAGCCUGACGCAGCGACGCCGCGUGAGGGAUGACGGCCU